GUCGCUGUCGAUUAGUGGUUAAAUCGCGUCGUUGUGGCCGACGAGCCCCAGGUUCAAUUCCUGGCAGCGACA
RNAcentral lists this transfer RNA (72 nucleotides) under Gloeophyllum trabeum ATCC 11539. RNAcentral's name for it is "tRNA-His (GTG) (tRNA-His-GTG-1-1)". It matches the Rfam family "tRNA". From Rfam's summary of the family: Transfer RNA (tRNA) molecules are approximately 80 nucleotides in length. Lineage: Eukaryota; Fungi; Basidiomycota; Agaricomycetes; Gloeophyllales; Gloeophyllaceae. The record is from RNAcentral.